GACGAACGCUGGCGGCGUGCCUAAUACAUGCAAGUCGAGCGGACGGAUGGGAGCUUGCUCCCAGACCGUCAGCGGCGGACGGGUGAGUAACCCGUGGGCAACCUGCCUGUAAGACUGGGAUAACUCCGGGAAACCGGGGCUAAUACCGGAUAACUCUUUCCCUCACAUGAGGGAAAGCUGAAAGAUGGCAUCUCGCUAUCACUUACAGAUGGGCCCGCGCGGCAUUAGCUAGUUGGUAAGGUAACGGCUCACCAAGGCGACGAUGCGUAGCCGACCUGAGAGGGUGAUAGGCCACACUGGGACUGAGACACGGCCCAGACUCCUACGGGAGGCAGCAGUAGGGAAUCUUCCGCAAUGGACGAAAGUCUGACGGAGCAACGCCGCGUGAGUGAUGAAGGUUUUCGGAUCGUAAAACUCUGUUGUCAGGGAAGAACAAGUACCGGAGUAACUGCCGGUACCUUGACGGUACCUGACCAGAAAGCCACGGCUAACUACGUG
Molecule: ribosomal RNA, 498 nt
Filed under: uncultured bacterium
Lineage: Bacteria
Description: partial 16S ribosomal RNA
Rfam family: Bacterial small subunit ribosomal RNA
Source: RNAcentral